CGACAUUCUUGUUCAGGAUUGUUUCUGAGGAUGGUUUGAUUUCCCUGGCGCUAAUGAGUGAGUUUAGGAAGUGAAAUCUUGCAUAACUCUAUGUGGAUUGAAUCAGAUAAAUGCCCGUUGUUGAUGGUGAUAUGAAACUAGCAGAUUUACCGUGAUCUCUGUCUGAUAUCAGCACUUGAACUCUGCGCUGGAUUUGUAUUUGUUUGCCGCAUUUCAUGUAUGUAGAGCUAAAGGUCCGCGAUAAGGCCUAGAAACUAGAAAGUAUUUUGAGAAUGUUAUUUUGUUUAAGGCUGUGAAUAGCCAAGCCAAAGGUGUUUCAGGUUUGUCCGUGUUUGAGUACCAAACUGAUAACUUUGUUUCUGCAGGAAUAAUAUGAAGAGACUGUUUCGACCGUGUGUCAGAGGGAAUCAGCCCCCCAGUUAGUCCGGCAUGAGGUGCACACAGUCAAAACGGAUCUAUAGACAAGAUGAAUACAAGGUCCUGUGUUUGAC
Amphibalanus amphitrite is the source of this 491-nucleotide long non-coding RNA. RefSeq lists it as uncharacterized. The record is from RefSeq and is a predicted model, not a curated record. NCBI's taxonomy places the organism in Eukaryota, Metazoa, Arthropoda, Thecostraca, Balanomorpha, Balanidae. The transcript is spliced from 2 exons.